GUCCAUUGACGUCAAUCGCACCGGAGAGAUAACGAGCAGACACUUUAGCCCGAGGUCGCUACCAGCGCAGCGGAGCGUCGUCUCUCUCACCAAGAAGCUUCUCCGGGCUCAGCGAAGUAAUGAGGUAGAGAAGUCGGACGAGCUCGUCGUACUCAACCUCGCGUGGAACACAUUGGCGCCGCCACCGCGAACAUGGACCAGGAGUUUGAAGACAUCGACUCAGAGGACCGGUGGCAAAAACUCUACUUAGAAAUCAGGAAUCAGUCCCACGAGUGCUCCUUCAAGGUGGCGAAGCAUCCGGAGAACCGCAACCGGAACAGAUACAGGGACGUCAGUCCAUUCGAUCACAGUCGGGUGAAGCUGGAGAACGUGGAGAACGACUACAUCAACGCGAGUCUGGUGGAGAUGGAGGAGGCCCAGAGAAGUUACAUAUUGACUCAGGGCCCCCUCAGAAACACUUGUGGCCACUUUUGGCUCAUGAUCUGGGAGCAGGAAACCAAAGCCAUCAUCAUGCUCAACAGGGUCAUAGAGAAAGGCUCAUCACAGGAAAAGUGUGCCCAGUACUGGCCCACGUCGGAGGAGCGGGAGAUGGCCUUCAGAGACACGCGUUUCUUGGUCACGCUGUCGUCCGAAGACGCCAAGUCUUACUACACCACCAGAGUGUUGGAGCUGCAGAAUAUUAACACGGGGGAGAAGAGAGAGAUCUACCACUUUCAUUACACCACGUGGCCUGAUUUCGGUGUCCCAGAAUCCCCAGCGUCGUUCCUCAACUUCCUUUUCAAGGUGCGGGAAUCGAGAGCGUUGGGUGCCGACCACGGGCCGGCUGUGGUGCACUGCAGCGCCGGAAUCGGACGCUCUGGGACGUUUUCACUAGUCGACACGUGUCUGGUCCUGAUGGACAAGAGGAAAGACCCAUCAUCAGUGGACAUCAAAAGCAUCCUGUUGGACAUGAGGAAGUACCGCAUGGGCCUGAUCCAGACCCCGGACCAGCUCCGCUUCUCCUACAUGGCCGCUCUCGAAGGAGCCAAGUACAUUAUGGGAGACUCGUCUGUACAGAACCGCUGGCGGGAGUUGUCCAGGGAAGAUCAGGAGCCGUCAUCAGAGUCUCGGCCCUCGACUCAGCCGCAGGCCAAGUGUCCGACAGAGCGACACAACGGCAGCCAGCGGGCGGGUCAGCCAGAGGAGGGAGGAGGAGACUACCGGCAGGACGGCAAAGUACCUGCACAGCCUCCCUGCAAGGAGCAGGAGCUGGACGGCAGCACAACACACAAACGACGCAGAGAAGACAGUAUCUCUAAAUCAGGGACAACCAAGACCCCCCAGAGCAAGCCCCGGACGAACGAAUCAGAGAAGAAGAGAAAAAGUUUGGGCUGCAUUUGCUGCACAUGACAAGAGCUGGCCUGUCCAGUGGGGGGCAGCGUAUCUUUACCCCCCUCUGAGGCAGCAACGACAACCGUGAGGAGCACAUUUAGAGGAGGAAGUUUACCCACAGCUUUUUAAAAAAGAACGCCCACUCUUGGCGAAAACCAGUGACAGCUAACCGCCUCCACCUGUGGCCACACGACUACAGCUCUGGCAGCAGAGCCAACAUCGGCAGGGAACUCCAGCUCUCCUCUGAAGGAGCUCUGUCCUCCUCUUCCUCCACCCCCAACCACUCUCUCACCUCCACCUCAAUAGCCAGCUCCCCUAUACAUGUUUUUUUUUUUUUUCCUGUCCCAGCCCUGACAGCAUUAUUCCGCCACCGCACACCUCUCGUCUUAACUUGUUAGCAUCAUGUCACUCCCACAUCCUUCUUCGUCUCCAUCUCCUCUUCCUCUCUCAACUGUUUACAGACGACACUUUGACAUUCUUUUGAAGAGCGCACAUUCAAAACGACGAACACACCAGCCCACACGCUCAACCAUCACCUGUUCUGCUCCUGGAGUCAGAAAUCCCUUCUUUCUGUUUGCUUUAAUAUUAUUAUUUACAACUUUGUCUUUCAAUUAAGCUUCUUUGCAUUUAUGAAAUUAGGACAGAAAAUAGCAGUGGCUAUGCAUUGCCAAUUUGUAAUGGUGUUCAUAUGUGUAUUUUCAGAAAACCCUUUUUUGUUUUUUUCAGAGACAAAAAUAAAAAUGUUCUAUUUUUUAUAAGAGAUUACUUGAAGUUUUUCACAGUGGUGGGGGGGUUUGGUAAAUGAAAAGCUCUGCCCCCUUCUCACACAUGAGAAAUUCAGUGGCAUGUAAUGUUUUCAUGAUGUACAUAGUGUUCUUUUUAAAAAGAUGUGUAAAAAAAGACAUAUUUUGUUGCUUGUAAAAAAAAACCAUAAGGCACACAAUAAUGUUACAGAUUUGAAUACAGUAGUAAGAUGAUUUGAUGACCUGCGCUCUUUUUUAAAAAUGAAUUUGUCUUAAGCUUUUCUCUCUUUUAGAGUAAUCUAUAAAUAAAACUGGUAUCAUCUAGUUUACAUAA
Molecule: RNA transcript, 2448 nt
Organism: Scophthalmus maximus (turbot)
Lineage: Eukaryota; Metazoa; Chordata; Actinopteri; Pleuronectiformes; Scophthalmidae
Gene: ptpn2b
Gene name: protein tyrosine phosphatase non-receptor type 2b
Exons: 11
Source: RefSeq, a predicted model, not a curated record